AUACGGAGGGGGUUAGCGUUGUUCGGAAUUACUGGGCGUAAAGCGUACGUAGGCGGACUGGAAAGUUGGGGGUGAAAUCCCGGGGCUCAACCCCGGAACUGCCUCCAAGACUUCCAAUCUAGAGAUCGAGAGAGGUGAGUGGAAUUCCAAGUGUAGAGGUGAAAUUCGUAGAUAUUUGGAGGAACACCAGUGGCGAAGGCGGCUCACUGGCUCGAUACUGACGCUGAGGUACGAAAGCGUGGGGAGCAAACAGGAUUAGAAACCCCAGUAGUCC
Molecule: ribosomal RNA, 274 nt
Filed under: uncultured bacterium
Lineage: Bacteria
Description: partial 16S ribosomal RNA
Rfam family: Bacterial small subunit ribosomal RNA
Source: RNAcentral